AACGCACAUGGCGCCUCCCAGUAUCCUGGGAGGCAUGCCUGUCCGAGCGUCGUUUCAACCCUCGAGCCCCCCCUAUAAAGGGGGCCCGGCGUUGGGGUUCCACGCCUGGCGUGGUCCCUGAAAACCAGCGGCGGACCCGUGGCGGCCCUUCCCUUGCGCAGUAGCUUACGCCUCGCAUCGGGAGCCCUCGGGCUUCUUGCCGUCAAAAACCCCUACAAGCCCGCCCCGUGCGGCACAAGGUUGACCUCGGAUCAGGUAGGAAUACCCGCUGAACUUAA
This 278-nucleotide unclassified non-coding RNA is filed under the name uncultured fungus. RNAcentral's name for it is "partial contains 5.8S ribosomal RNA, internal transcribed spacer 2, and large subunit ribosomal RNA". Lineage: Eukaryota; Fungi. The record is from RNAcentral.